AUUGAACGCUGGCGGCAUGCUUUACACAUGCAAGUCGAACGGCAGCGCGGGCUUCGGCCUGGCGGCGAGUGGCGCACGGGUGAGUAAUGCAUCGGAACGUGCCCAGUAGUGGGGGAUAGCCCGGCGAAAGCCGGAUUAAUACCGCAUACGACCUGAGGGUGAAAGCGGGGGACCGAAAGGCCUCGCGCUAUUGGAGCGGCCGACGUCGGAUUAGCUAGUUGGUGGGGUAAAGGCUUACCAAGGCGGCGAUCCGUAGCUGGUCUGAGAGGACGACCAGCCACACUGGGACUGAGACACGGCCCAGACUCCUACGGGAGGCAGCAGUGGGGAAUUUUGGACAAUGGGGGCAACCCUGAUCCAGCCAUGCCGCGUGCGGGAAGAAGGCCUUCGGGUUGUAAACCGCUUUUGUUCGGGAAGAAAUCCUCUGGGCUAAUACCCCGGGGGGAUGACGGUACCGGAAGAAUAAGCACCGGCUAACUACGUG
This 484-nucleotide ribosomal RNA is filed under the name uncultured bacterium. RNAcentral describes it as "partial 16S ribosomal RNA". It matches the Rfam family "Bacterial small subunit ribosomal RNA", at positions 28 to 507 of the family's 1533-position model. The record is from RNAcentral.